Long non-coding RNA from Saccostrea cuccullata (small rock oyster), 204 nucleotides. RefSeq lists it as uncharacterized. Lineage: Eukaryota; Metazoa; Mollusca; Bivalvia; Ostreida; Ostreidae. The record is from RefSeq and is a predicted model, not a curated record. The transcript has 2 exons.
UGUUUUAUUGGUCCCCACCUUUGAUUUUGCAAUAAUCAUUGAACUAGUCAGAUGUUCCUCAGAGUGUAUAUUAGGGCUGGUUUUACAAAGUACAUUAAGUUGAUUUUGCUUAUGGAGUGUUAUUAACUUUUCUUACAAUUAGUAUUAUACUGCAUUAGUAGUUUCGUCAUUAUGUUAAUAAAUGACCUUUUUCAAUUUAAAUUG